UCCCCUUUGGGAGCCUGGCAUCUCCAUCUCUCUCCCCCUCACCACUUCUUCUCUCACCUCCGGCUGCCGCCACGGCUAAGCCAUCGUAGCGGCGCACCUCUGCGACCUUGCUGCUCCACAUCACCCAUCCAUCCACCAUCAUCUCGUGCCACCGCGCCACCCAAUCAGCACCACACCAUCCAGCCACCACUCCGUCUUCGCCGCCAUCAACUUGCGCGCUCCACUUUGUCACCGCGCCUGGCGCGCCCGACCAGACGGGCGUCUGGUUCCCCGCGCCACCUACUGUUGCUCUCUCCCUCUCUCCGCUGCUCCUCCCCUUGUCUCCACUUCCUCUGCUUCUCUUCCUUAUUCUCCUUCUCCCACGUCUUGCUACUGCUUCUCUUCUCCGACCCCCUUUGUUGUUGCUCUUCUUCUCUUGCGCCCCUGCUGAUCCUACCUUGUUGCUCGCUGCUGCUUCUCUUCCAAUUCCCCACCUACUGCUAUUCUUCUUCUUCUCAAAAUCCCAAUCUGCUGCUCCUUCUCUGAACCAACCGCUGGCUGCUAUGACCUCUCCCCAAAACUGUCGUUGCUCCUCUUUCUUGCGGCACCUUCUCUCAAACGCCCCUGGUGCUCAUAAUCUGAACCAUAAACUGUUGUUAUCUCUCUUUUUCCCUCUAUAUUCUUUGAAUUUCUAUAAUAGGAGAUGUGUAAUGCCUUGUAAUGUUUAGAUUCUAUGAAUGCUUGCAAUCCGUGAAUGGUUCAAUUUCGUACUUAUAAAUAUUGUAUCACAUAUUGUGUGUUCUCACUAGUUGAAUUGUUCUUGCUGUGUAUCUGUGUUCUAUCUAUCACCAUAUAUGUGUACCUAACCCUGUGAACUUGUUCCAGUUUCUAGUUUUUGUGUUUACUCAAGUACUUGUGCUACAAAAAUAUGUGUGUGAGUUUGUGAUGUGAAACAAUUUUUUCCAGCCAUAUAACCGUGAUUCUUCCCACUGUUAUAUUUUUGUCCCUGUCAUAUAAUCUUGUUUACUAUAUAAUCUUUCAUGCCAUGCUGUUUCCCUAUUGUGUUAGCAUUUUAGUUUCUCAAGUAAUAGGAAAGUACCAAAAAGUAAGCGAAGAAAAUCUUAAUAUCCCUGUGCUAUUUGCAUUUUCUUUGUGAAAGAUCUUCGGGAACAACCUUGUUUAGUUUAGGUUUAUUUCCUUGUAAUCAUCAUCUGUAUUAUGUCACCUAGCUUUAGCCGAGCAUAGUCGUCAUCGACUAGUACCUGAGGAGAACACGACACUCGCAGAAUUGGGCGAAAUACCCAACUGUACUUACACAUGAUCAUUUUGGCGCCGUUGCCGGGACUAGCAUCGUGCGACCGUGUUAGGCGAUAGACUAGGUUUUGCUUCUGUUUCUAUUUAGUGCCAUAUAUUUGUGAUAUAUCUCUUACCCCUAACCACUAUUAUAGUUAUCUUCUCUUUCUUUUAUUAUUCAUUUUGUAGCUUGAAUUGUCUUCUUGGAAAUGGCAUUCUACUCAGAUCAUCAUGCUUAUGCGAGCAACAGUACAAACAACACUGAACGUAUUCAAGAACUGAUAAGGCCAUUCACCCGCUGAAUGUCAGCGUGGUUACUCUCACCCUCCAGAUUGUUUUGGCAUGAGCUUUGCUCAAGAGCAUAGCUCAUACCAAAACAAUACACACAUGGGUGGCCUGAAAACCAGAAUAUCUCAUAUAGGAGCAACAACCCUGAGAUCUCACCAUUUGCUUCUAGUAAUCAUAUCCAGGGAUUUAUGUAUGAAGAGGAGAGCAACAACUAUGCACCACAACAAUUUUAUUCACCUCCUACUCAUAUACCUCAACACCACGAGAUAUUGCCAAUGGAGUUAAAUGGUCCUCCAUUUGGUUAACCAACACCUUCAACACAAGUGCCCACACAAGAUGAUUUUGAUGAUAUAGACAAGCUCACAUUGCUUAGUCUCGAGUUCACUUGGAGUGCCGAAGAUGAUCCAAUUAGGCCGGUGAUACUAGAGGAAAUGAAGAAGAUCAAGAGUGGAAAAGCGCUAGUGGAAGAAGUAAGGAAGAUUAAGAAGAACAUCAACGCUGGCAGUACUAUUUCAUCACAGCUUGAGCUGAGUGUUGCUGGGAUAUCCCUUGAUACAUGUGAGGUUUCAAAACCUUCACAUUCAGCUGAGCAAGAUAGCGAGAGUCCAGAGGAAGAGAUACUUCAUAUCCAAGAAGAAAUACUUGAAGCCAAGGAACAAGAUGAUCCAGAGCUUAAAUGCCCAAGUGAUCAAGUUGAAGAUCCAAUGUCUAUCUCUCCCGAAGAAGUAAAAGAAGCUACUGUAGCUGAAGAUGAAGAACCUGAGAUUCAUUUGCCUAUUAUCAUACAUGAGCAUGAUGUGUCAGGUUUAUCCAAUCCUCUCCAUGACAUGCAUCCUUAUGAUUUCUUUCCUACUACCUUGCAUUGCAUGAUGCCAUCUGUUAAAGUAGAUUUGAGGAAGUAUUUGCUUGGAUAUGAUGAUAUAUACCCUGUUAGUGGCAUUACUCUCAUUUGUGAUGAUCAUAGUUGCUUUCCUCGUGCUAGUCCUAUGCUAAAUGAAACAUAUCAUUCCCAUGCUAGUCCUGAGCUUAAUAAUAAAUAUCAUCCUCAUGUUAGUGUUGACCUUGCCGAUUUCUACCAUCCUAAACAUGUGCUUUAUAGCUAUGCUUAUGUAAUUGGAUAUUCGAUUGAUGACUUGGAGGGUAUUAUCCCUACCACUUGCAUUGUCUCUUUUGUUGAGUGCUCUUUCAGGUUCUUCCUUGUGCACGAGUCACUACAUGCUGACCAGGUUCGAGGUGACAUUCCUUGGGACCUCGGUGGAAACUGAGCACGGAGAUGAGGAGAAGCAAUGGGCACACACGCGAGGAAGGGAGAAGAUGGAGCAGGCAUGAGGAUGGAGAAGAAAAAGCAAAAGAGCAGCAGCUUAGAGAGUGAUCAAGCGAGUGCUACUUCAUAGUGCCCGGUGAGCUGUUUCAUGGCCCAUUCCGAGUAUAUCAUCCGAUACAUGAUGAAAUCAAAUGUUAUUUGGGUUGCUUAAGCCAUUUCUUAAAUGUUGCCCCACUGAAUUUCAUUUGACAUAUGGUGCUUGAUGAGAAUAUGCGAACUGAUUGUUGAAUGCCAUGUAAACUAGUGAUCUACAUACUGCAUGCUUUGCUGAAAUCAGUGAGAACUAUUAGUUUUGAGUGCUCAAAUCCCUAGUACACUAGAAAACUUAAUCAUUUUCUGCUUUUACCUUGAUACACCUAGAUCAUUAAGUGUCAUAUGCUGAGUUUGUGCCUAUUGUGUUCACAUUCAGAGCAAUCACUUGCCACUAUGGAUUAGCAUGCUAUGUUCCCUGGAUCGGUAGUAUGUGAACCAGACAUGGAUGAGUGAUGAUUCUUGUUUUUGUUGAUUUGAAAAGUAGAAAAGUAUAUCGUAUAAUGUAUGUUAGUCUGGUCUACCUACAGUAGCAUGUCAUGUUCCCUGGAUCGGUGGCAUGUGAAAUGUGGAAGCUUGGACGGCAAUAAAAAAAUGUAAUUCUCGAACCAGGUGUAUACCAUGUUCUCUAGAUCGGUGGUAUGUUCCUUUGGGGAGACAAACAAAAGAAACUAACUAAUAAUUGGUCGAGCCAGGUGUAUACCAUGUUCUCGGGAUCGGUGGUAUGUUCCUUUGGUGAGACCGAUAAAAUAUUAUCAUUACUUUCUUCAAAUACAAUAAGUGCUUUCAACUGCAAUGUUUUGUUCCUCGUAAUAAGUGACCUGAUCACAAGUUUAAGUUCUUUUUGUUUUGGGGAUCAUGCUCUCUCUAGGAACCUUUUGGCACAAUCAGCAUUUGAACUUGCUAAUCUUCUUUUAUCAUUUUAAAAGUUUAAAAUGGUCAAGUCUACUAGUAUCCUACUGCUUUGUAGCACUCUAACCAUUAAUUUUCACUAAGUCUGAAGCAUGCAUUGUUUAGAGAUCUACUUCACUUGACAUUCUGUAGUCAGUUCACUAUUCACUAUCUAGUUCUUGUCAUAUUCCUUCGCUUGAGGACAGACAAAGAUUUAAGUGUGGGGGAACUUGAUAAGCACAUUUCAUAUACAUAUUUUGACACACAAAUUCAUCAUCUAUUGAGAUAUGUCCAUCCAUUUUUGCUUAGUAUUAUCGAAUAUUCGAAUGAUAUUCAUAAAAGAGCUAGUGACUGGUCAUUUGUUUCUUUUGCAGAAAAGUGCGCAAAGGCACUAUAAACUUCGAGAUUUAGACUGUGAGGCUUGUGACAAGAGACAAGGGCAUGAAAGAAAGACGAGGGACCCGGGCGAGAAGAAAAGAAGUUACCAAGGGCAAGCUGAAGAAGAGGAGGGACCUUAUUGUGAAGAAACAAGAAAGCAUGAGGGUCAAUGUGAAAAUGUCCAGAUCAGCCGUGAGGGGAUCAAAAUCCCUAGCUCAUCACUGAUCCCCUUUGGGAGCCUAGCAUCUCCAUCUCUCUCCCCCUCACCACUUCUUCUCUCACCUCCGGCUGCCGCCGCGGCCAGGCCAUCGUGGCGGCGCGCCUCCGCGACCUCGCUGCUCCACAUCACCCAUCCAUCCACCAUCAUCUCGCACCACCGCGCUACCCAAUCAGCACCAUACCAUCCAACCACCACUCCGUCUUCGCCACCAUCACCUUGCACGCUCCACUUCGUUACCACGCCUAGCGCGCCCGACCAGACGGGCGUCUGGAUCCCCGCGCCACCUGCUGUUGCUCUCUCCCUCUCUUCGCUGCUCCUCCCCCCGUCUCCACUUCCUCUGCUUCUCUUCCUUCUUCUCCUUUGUGGAAGGAGAGAUUUGCAAUACAAUGAACGUUGUAUUGAUGGGGUGCUGGUGCACGUAUAUAUAAUACAAGGGAAGGCCUCUACCCCAACUAUACAAGACUAGGAGGUGGGCCACAACUCCAAUACACGUGCAAUACAAAACACAUACUCAACACCCCCCCGCAGUUGAAGCGUCGCCGGAGACACAGAGACUGGACCGAAACUCCUCGAAGACGGGAGUAGGCAAUCCCUUAGUCAUCACAUCAGCAAACUAUUGCGACGUCAGCACGUGGAGAACUCGAACACGGCCAAGGGCAACCUGCUCGCGCACGAAGUGAAUGUCGAGCUCAAUAUGCUUCGUCCAUCGAUGGUGUACCGGGUUGGCAGAGAGGUAGACCGCGCUGACGUUAUCGCAAUAGACAAGAGUGGCCGUGUGAACAUCACAAAGCAACUCUUGGAGCAGCUGACGUAUCCAAGAGCACUCGGCCAUGGCGUUGGCCACGGCGCGAUACUCUGCCUCGGCGCUGGAGCGAGAGACCGUGGGCUGCCGCUUCGAUGACCAAGAGAUCAACGAGGGCCCAAGGUAGACGCAGUAGCCUGACGUAGAGCGUCGCGUGUCGGGGCAGCCAGCCCAGUCAGCAUCCGAGUAGGCCACGAGGUCGAUGGAGGCGGAGGCCGUCAGGGUGAGUCCCAAAGACAUGGUGCCGCGUAUGUAAUGAAGAAUAUGCUUCACCAGAGUCCAGUGAGAGUCACGCGGGGCGUGCAUAUGGAGGCACACCUGCUGAACAACGUACUGCAAGUCGGGGCGAGUCAGUGUCAAGUACUGUAAAGCAUCGAUAAUAGAGCGAUAAAAUGCUCCAUCAAACGCGAGAGACCCCUCCCGAGAAGAGACCUUCGCCUUUGUGUCGACGGGAGUGGGCGCUGGCUUGCAGUUAAGCAUACGGCACACUUAAGGAGCUCGUGGGCAUACUUCUGCUAAUGCAGAAAGAAACCAUCAGCCCGGCGGAUCACCUCGAUGCUGAGAAAGUAGUGCAGGGGCCCAAGUCCUUGAGGGCGAACUCAUCACGAAGACGAGCAGUCAGCCGCUGAAGGAGAUCGGGGGUGGACGCCGUGAGGAUGAUGUCGUCGACGUAGAGCAGCAGAUAUGCAAUGUCAGCUCCCUGAUGAUACACAAAAAAGUGAGGCAUCGGAGCGAGUGGACCGAAAGCCUAGAGACUGUAGGAAGGCGGCGAUACGUUGGUACCAAGCCCGAGGCGCCUGCUUCAACCCGUACAGAGAGCGGGAGAGCAAGCACACGAAAUCGGGGUGCUCGGUGUCGAUGAAACCAGUAGGAUGCUCACAGAACACCUGCUCGGCGAGAUGACCGUGCAAGAAGGCAUUGGAAACGUUCAACUGAUGCACAGGCCAGGCGCGUGAGACGGCCAGCUGAAGGAUGGCACGGACCGUGCCCUGUUUCACAACCGGGGCGAAGGUGUCGGUGAAGUCCACGCCCGCGCGCUGCCGAAAACCACGAACCACCCAUCGAGCCUUGUAGCGCUCGAGAGAACCGUCUGGGCGAGUCUUGUGGCGAAACACCCACUUGCCAGAGAUGAUGUUGGCACGAGGGGGUCGCGGAACAAGCUGCCACGUGCGGUUGCGGUGUAAGGCAUCGAACUCCUCCUACAUCGCUGCUAGCCAGUGGGGAUCCCGAAGGGCAGCACGAGCGGAGGUGGGGACGGGUGAUGGCGUCGACGUCGAGGCGGUGCACACAUACUCGUCGGCGGAGUAGCGCGUAUUGGGCUGGAGCACUCCUGCUCGGGCACGGGUAGUCACGCCAAGUGGCGGGGCAGCAGGGCCGUCGGGUGCCGCGGCGGCAGGGGGCACGGCGGCGGUGGCACCCGGUGCGGCGGCGGGGGCCGGGGCUCCUGGUGCGGCGGCGGGCACCGCAGCAGCCGCAGCAGCAGAGGCCGCAGCGGUAGCGGCGGCGGGGGCCGCGCCAGCAGGGGCCGCAGCGUCGGCCCAUCCCGCGGCGGCGGGCGAGGUCGAGGUCGAGCCCGUCGCAGGGGUGGCGGCGCCAGCCAGGGUGGCGGGCGGUGUGCCCACCGACUCGACCUCGUAAGAGGGAGUCGAGAACCCGGGAGGUGGCGGCAGAAGGCGCCGGGCCGGGGGGUGCCGCUGCGCAUCGCUCCAGUUAGGGGGCGCGGGGGCUAGUGCCGAAGAAUCCGCAGCCGGAGGGACCUGAAAAAAGGGAACACCGUCUCGACAAAAUACACGUGCCUCGAGGUGUACACGCGAUGAGUGACAGGAUCAUAGCACCGGUAACCUUUGGUGUUGGGAGGGUAGCCAAGGAAGAUGCAUGGAACGGUUCGGGGUGCGAGCUUGUGUGGCGUGGUGGACGCAGUGCUGGGAUAACAGAGACACCCAAAGAUGCGGAGACCAUCAUAGGACGGUGGUGUACCGAAGAGAAGGUGGUGAGAAGCGUAGUUCCACCGAGGACGACACGGACGAAUGUUAACUAAGAGGGUGGCGGUGGCGAGGGCAUCAGGCCAAAACCGAGCAGGCACGUUUGAGUGAAAAAGUAACAUGCGAACGCAGUCAUUAAGAGUGCGAAGAAUGCGCUCGGCGCGGCCGUUCUGCUGUGAAGUGUAGGGGCAAGUCAGACGGAAGAUGGUGCCAUGAGAGGCGAGAAGUGUGCGAAGACCAAUGUUGUCAAACUCUUUUCCGUUAUCAGUUUGGAGUGCAAGUAUGGGACGACCGAACUAGGUGGUGACAUAGGAAUAAAAGGCGGUGAGUGUGGCUAAGGCAUCGGAUUUGCGACGAAGAGGAAAAGUCCACACAUAAUGAGAAUAAUCAUCUAAAAUCACCAAGUAGUAGAGAUAGCCCGUGUUACUCGCAACGGGAGAUGUCCAAAUAUCACUAUGAAGUAAUUGAAACGGAAAAGUGGAAAUUGAGGAGGACGCACUAAAGGGAAGACGAACAUGCUUGCCUAAGCGGCAUGCCUCACAAGAGUGCUCGUCGAGCUUAUUACAUGAGAAUGAGAAACUCCUGAGAAUUUGACGUAACACGGUGUGGUUGGGGUGACCCAAGCGAGCGUGCCAAAGGUCGACGCCGGUGGCAAAGGCGACAGGUGUGGAAGUGGAGGCGCCGGCGUGCACGGGGUAGAGCUCAUCGGGACUUUCACAACGGUGAAGAACCAUCCGGGUACGGGCGUCUUUCACAGAAAAGCCAACGCCGUCAAAUUCAACAGUAAGUGGGUUCUCACGAGUAAGACGACGAACGGAAACUAGGUUCGUGACUAAGUCUGGUGAAAAAAGAACAUUAGACAUAUUGAUGGGUGUGGAAGUGGAGGGAAAACUAGCGCUACCGAUAUGAGUAAUAGGUAAGGAGGAGCCGUUACCGACGGUGAUACGAGUGGGUGUGUGAACAGGAGUGGAGGAGGUUAGGUUACUGGGAUGAGCUGUCAUGUGCGCGGUAGCACCUGAGUCCAUGUACCAGUCGCCUCCGCCGAUAGAGCUACUCGGCGAUGGCGCGGAGUGCUGGGCGGCGAGGAGGGCGGGGUCCCAUGGUGCAGGUACCGGCGGCGGUGAGAGGCCCUCGUAGGGCGGCACCGAAGCGGGCGGGCCAUAACCACCGAGGGGCGAUGGCACAAGGAGGGUGCCGUAGCCGGUGUCGGUCGACUGGUAAGGCGCGCCGAUGAACCCCCGAUGGCCCGCGGGGAGAGCCUGCGGGUGGUGCGGGGCCCAGCCGGCGCCCUGGGCCGGCGGCGACACAGGGAGGGUGCCGUAGCCGGUGCCGGUCGACGGGUAACACCAUCUUGGAGAGGCCAUCGUCGGGGCCGGCGGAGCAGGGCCGCCGGCCAUUGGCGGGGACGGCUGCAUGUGGGUGACGCCGGAUGCGCCGUAGGCGUCGACCGCGCCGUAUGGCGCCGGGGCCGCACCGGAGGGCGCUGGUGGCGGGACGGCAGAGGCGGCGGCGGACAGGCCGGUGAAACGCCAUCGGUGGCGGCGCGGAGGAGCCGCGCGGCGGCGGCGGCGCGGAGGAGUUGCGCGGCAUCGGGGUAGCGGCGGCGCGGAGGAGUCGUGCGGCGGCGGUUAGAGGCGGCGGCAGCGCGGGAGUCGCGCGGCAGCGGCGGCGGCGCUAGGUCGCGGCGGCGGCGCGGGAGGAGUGCGCGGCUUGGGUCGGACGGUGGCGGCGGCGGCGCGAGGAGAGGCGCGGCGGCGGCGGAGCGGAAGCAAGGAAAAUAACCUAAAAAACUGAUACCAUGUGAAAGGAGAGAUUUGCAAUACAAUGAACGUUGUAUUGAUGGGGUGCUAGUGCACGUAUAUAUAAUACAAGGAAAGAUCUCUAUCUCAAUUAUACAAGACUAGAAGGUGGGCCACAACUCCAAUACAGGUGCAAUACAAAACACAUACUCAACAUCCUUCUCCCACGUCUUGCUGCUGCUUCUCUUCUCCGACCCCCUUUGUUGUUGCUCUUCUUCUUUUGCGCCCCUGCUGCUCCUAACUUGUUGCUCGCUGCUGCUUCUCUUCCAAUUCCCCAUUUGCUGUUGUUCUUCUUCUUCUCAAAAUCCUAAGUUGCUGCUCCUUCUCUGAACUAACUGCUGGCUGCUAUUACCUCUCCCCAAAACUGCCGUUGCUCCUCUUUCUUGCCGCACCUUCUCUCAAACGCCCCUGCUGCUCCUAGUCUGAACCAUAAACUGCUGCUAUCUCUCUUUUUUCCUCUCUAUCUUCUCUGAAUUUCUGUAAUAGGAGAUGUAUAAUGCCUUGUAAUGUUCAGAUUCUAUGAAUGCUUGCAAUCCGUGAAUGGUUCAGUUUCGUACUUAUAAAUAUUGUAUCACAUAUUAUGUGUUCUCAUUAGUUGAAUUGUUCUUGCUGUGUA
Long non-coding RNA from Triticum aestivum (bread wheat), 9602 nucleotides. RefSeq lists it as uncharacterized. The record is from RefSeq and is a predicted model, not a curated record. The transcript is spliced from 2 exons. NCBI's taxonomy places the organism in Eukaryota, Viridiplantae, Streptophyta, Magnoliopsida, Poales, Poaceae.